AAGUGUCUGGAUUCCAGGCCUGUCCUGCAUAGUCAGCAGUCACUCUGGUCCUUCCUGGGCACGCCUAGAAGAACCAGGAAGUGAGAGUGGGGGUGGCAGAGAAGAAACCAGAAAGCAGAUGCUGAAAGAGGGAAGAGAGCAGGACAAGAAGUGGAGGCGGGAGAGGACUGGAGGUGGACACGGGGCUCGCUGCACCCAGAAGAGGCAGCACAUGGUGACUGGAGGAAGGGAGGGCCUGAGAGAACCCGCAAAGGAACUUGAGAUGCCCAGAUCUGAAUGUGUCAAACACGGCGGCAUUACCUGGAGAGACAAGGUCCCUCUCACAGCAACCACCACGGCCUCUUUUCUGUGAUCCAGAACCACUAUGAAGGGCAGCUCAUAGACCUGGAAGAGAAGAAGCCAGCACAAGGCCUGACCCAUGGGACACAGAGCAUCACCACCACCAAAGAAACCUGCGUGUCUGUGACCUGGUUUCUCUAUCCUCCUGCCUCCUGCCUCAAUCCCAAGUGCUGGGGUUGUACACACCAUCACACCUGGCAACUUCAGGAGGGUGAAGGGCAGAAACCACUCCAGGGCAAGCACAGGAUGCAAUUUCAACUCCUUUCAUCAGGAACCUUCCAUCAAAGCCAAGAUGGCUCAUGGGUAAAGGUGCGUGGUGAGUGAUUUCACACGAGUUCACUCUGAGAUCCCAUGUGAGGCAUGUGCUGUCUUCUGACCUCCACGUUUGCUGUGGCAUACACGUACCACACACAUCUAAGGUGUAUGUUAAUGAUAAAUAAAAUCUGAAAUAUUUCCAUCCGAAAUGCAG
This is a non-coding RNA of Myodes glareolus (Bank vole), 808 nucleotides long. NCBI's taxonomy places the organism in Eukaryota, Metazoa, Chordata, Mammalia, Rodentia, Cricetidae. The record is from RefSeq and is a predicted model, not a curated record.